RNA transcript from Panicum virgatum (switchgrass), 2013 nucleotides. It is a transcript of the gene named membrane-anchored ubiquitin-fold protein 3-like, with no coding region annotated. NCBI's taxonomy places the organism in Eukaryota, Viridiplantae, Streptophyta, Magnoliopsida, Poales, Poaceae. The record is from RefSeq and is a predicted model, not a curated record. The transcript is spliced from 3 exons.
GGUGUAUCUGCUAAACCGCCGACGAAUCCCACUGCCCCUUUUUCUCCUUCCGCCUCGAGCCGCCCGUCUCCUCCUCGCUUUGCCCCCCACGAAGCAAUUCUAAAUCCUCGCGCGGAAGAUCGGAUCCUCCCCGCGUGAUCCGCAUCGGUGCUUGCCCUUCCUGCGCGGAUUUCCGGCAGCCUUUUCCGCCCGAACCCCUGAUUUCCCCUGCCGAUUCCCUGCUCCUGCCGCGGCGGUUGUUCCUGCAGCCUGUUGGGGGGAUCUUUGGCGGAGGGGAGGGAGUUGGUGGGGGUGGUUAGGCGGCGCCCGCGAUCCGGCCCGGGGAGAUGGCCGGCGGGAAGGAGCCGAUCGAGGUGAAGUUCCGGCUCUUCGACGGCACCGACAUCGGGCCCAGCAAGUACGACCCCAGCACCACCGUCGCCGCGCUCAAGGAGUUCGUCCUCGCCCGGUGGCCGCAGGAACCAAAAGCCAGCAACAACUUUUCUGAAAAGCUCAAAAGCUGCAGCUCAAACAAACAGGCCCUUAAGAGCAUGCUGAGGAUCUCUGCAAACAUGUGAUGGCAGGACCAUUUCCAGAGAUUGUGUGGCUCAUUUAGGCUGCCUGCCUUCUUAUCUGGGCGUGCCUAUAGAUGAUCUUCAAUUGUUUGGUGGUUCUCUCUGAAUUCUGAGCAACCAAGGGUCUGAUUCAUUGAAGCUGGUCAUCAGAAUGAUUUUUGUUAUGCAAACAGAUAUGUCUGGAUUAAGCCUGUAUCUGGAGAUGUGAAGUGCGACUGAGCAUCUGCAUGGGACGGGACCACAUUCAACAUGUGGUCACAUGAAAGUACUAGCAGUACAAAAGAUGUAUUUACAUGUAGUGCCAGCAUUUUCUGCUAUUUCUCUUUGGCAAUUCCACAAGUAAAGACUACAUUGAUUUUGUGCAACUGUUUAUGUCUGCUGACACAUUCUAAACUGGUGCAACUGGGAAAGAAAUUCAGAGGUGACUCAUGCCGGAUUAAAGGUUCACAGUAGUAAGGAAAGAACCAUGUAUCUUUUGAAUCAGGCAUCAUGGCAUGCUUCAUGGACAAUGCAAAGUUAAACUAACAAGUGACCAUUCUUCAGUGUUUUUUUCCUUCUGAUGACUGAUAACUGCCUGGAAAUGGGAAUUACCCUUCUUUUGGUCAUCUUGUAUUGUCUGUCAUUAGUAUUUUUCAAAUAUUGUUGCGUCAGAUAGCUUAGGCAUAUUUCAGUCCUCCAGAACCUUUGUGAAGUAUGUCUUGUGUCUGUUGAUAGUGCUACUUUCAUGUUUGUUAACAGAUAAAGAAAUAGUUCCAAAAACUGUCAAUGAUGUGAAGCUCAUCAAUGCUGGAAGGAUACUGGAGAAUAGCAAAACUCUCGCCGAGUCACGAGUCCCAGUUGGAGAAGUUCCUGGAAGUGUGAUUACAAUGCAUGUUGUUGUGCGGCCGCCCCAAUCAAACAAAAGUGAGAAGCAACAGUCAAACUCUCCGAAGCAGAACAGAUGCGGAUGUACGAUAUUGUGAUGUUGAUGCAGUAGAAAUGUGUAUCGGUGUUGUGUCCACAGGGAUCACAAGUUCAUUUUGACAAUUGAUUCUUGCGUCUAUUCAUCACAGCCCAAGCCUAGAUAUGUCAUUACCACUAGCCACAUCUGCUUGAGAAUUUGAUGCUUGCUAUCGUGUAAAAGGAGUGUGGUGGAAGGAGAUUUCUCAGGAGGUCCUGGUAAAAACCCUAAAAGGAGUGUGCAGGAGUCAAGGAAAUUGGAUGUUUGCUUUUAUGGGAUGUGUAGACGUAGUGAUACCAAAAGUGAGUUGCUGCAUAGUACCUGUCAAGUCUUUCUUUUUCGUUUGCGUCAAGCUCGGUCACGUAUGUGUUUUGUAAUAGAAAAAGUGACUGGUAAUUCUUGUCGAGAAGUGGAAAGGAAUGUUGGGUUUUGCCGGUUUGGCAUGGUACUGAUGAAGGUGAAAAAUGAUUGGUACUACCUCUGUUUAAAAUUAUAGGUCGUUUGACUUUUUGACAUAAA